Molecule: small nucleolar RNA, 132 nt
Filed under: Echinops telfairi (small Madagascar hedgehog)
Lineage: Eukaryota; Metazoa; Chordata; Mammalia; Afrosoricida; Tenrecidae
Description: Small Cajal body specific RNA 24 (ENSETEG00000026816.1)
Rfam family: Small Cajal body specific RNA 24
About the family: scaRNAs are a specific class of small nuclear RNAs which localise to the Cajal bodies and guide the modification of RNA polymerase II transcribed spliceosomal RNAs U1, U2, U4, U5 and U12. ACA12 belongs to the H/ACA box class of guide RNAs as it has the predicted hairpin-hinge-hairpin-tail structure,the conserved H/ACA-box motifs and is found associated with GAR1.
Source: RNAcentral
UGGACAUUUAUUCUUACUCCGUUUCUUCUUCAGGUGAAGAUAACUCUUUAUAAAGGUCCUAGAAAAAUAUAUUAGCUUUCUGUUCACCCUUGGCAGAGUAAAAAGGGUGGGAUCAUUCCACUACUGACNNNN